This 432-nucleotide ribosomal RNA is filed under the name Triticum aestivum (bread wheat). RNAcentral's name for it is "partial small subunit ribosomal RNA". The record is from RNAcentral. Lineage: Eukaryota; Viridiplantae; Streptophyta; Magnoliopsida; Poales; Poaceae.
AUGGAGGUACUUGGCAAAUCUGUGAUUGCUGAGCCCAGCAAUGUGAUUUUCUUGUCCACUAUUCUGAACACAGAAGGGGAAAUCCCCAGUCACAAGUGUGACAAGAGGUGCCAGAAUGAGCACAUCUUUGGAAACAUGUACCGCUGCAAACUGACUGGAAUGACGCACAUUUGUGACAAAAACUGUAACCAGAGGAUCCUCUAUGACAACCACAACUCGCUUUGCCGAGUGAGUGGGCAGUUGUUCCCGCUCUCACCACUGGAGCUGACGGCAGUGAGGGGGAUUCGGAGGAAGCAUGAAGCCGACAGCAAUGAAGGGUGCUCCUUCAAGCGCAGGCGUGGUGCACAGCUCCAUCCUUCCCCUUUUGAGAGGUCCUACUCCGCCGUGUCUCCGAUACCGAGCCAAGCUGGAGAUGGCAUGGACCUGAGCUAG